Molecule: ribosomal RNA, 119 nt
Organism: Gadus morhua (Atlantic cod)
Lineage: Eukaryota; Metazoa; Chordata; Actinopteri; Gadiformes; Gadidae
Source: Ensembl
CAGGGUGGCCAUACCACCCUGAAUACGCCCGAUCUCGUCUGAUCUCGGAAGCUAAGCAGGGUUGGGCCUGGUUAGUACUUGGAUGGGAGACCACCUGGGAAUACCAGGUGCUGUAAGUG